AGAACAGACUAAGACAGCCUCUAAGGAGACUGCUCCUGGCAAUCGGGAAGACCCAGGCAGAAGGGGCAAGAGGAGACUCCACACUGAUAAACACCAGAAAUGUGGCUAAUGGUCCUCUCUCCUGCUAAAGAUCUGAGAAUUCUGUCAGCAACAGAGUGAACACUGAGGGGAUCGUGGGGCAUGUGCUAGACAUUUCUAUAGCCCAGCUCAAAAGUGUUAGGUGACUACAGAGUGAUUCUAAAUGCGGUCUAGGGAUAUCAUUUUAGCAGAUAUGAAGCCAGUCAAGAGAUGUCAGGUUUUGGACAGAUGGUGAAGAAUCUUAUAACUUACAGAUAAUAUUAGUACAAUUAAAAAUAGAAUAUAUAUCUUCCAAAUUGUAGAAAGAAAGUAAAAUGUAGUCUAUAGAGCAAAAGACAGAAAAUAACAGAAAAAUCAAACAUCCAUUAAAAAGAUACAGAGCAGAAAAAUAAGAUGGCAAAAGUAACAGCAAACAUAUUUUUUGAGACAGCAAACAAAACAGUUAAAGUCUCCUUUUCAGAGACUCUAAGUCUGGAUUGAAAGGGAAAUGUAAGUGUGUGUCAUUGAGACUGACUGAAAACAAAAGGAAAAAAUAGAUUUUUUUCUUUUUUUUUGAAACAGUCUUGCUCUGUCUGUCACCGAGGCUGGAGUGCUGUGGCAUGAUCUUGG
Molecule: long non-coding RNA, 687 nt
Filed under: Homo sapiens (human)
Lineage: Eukaryota; Metazoa; Chordata; Mammalia; Primates; Hominidae
Description: HSALNT0048924
Source: RNAcentral